GACGAACGCUGGCUGCGUGCUUAACACAUGCAAGUCGAGCGAGGCCCAUCUUUCGGGGUGGUGCCCUAGCGGCGAACGGGUGAGUAACACGUGGGCAACCUGCCCUCAGCUCUGGGAUAACUCCAAGAAAUUGGUGCUAAUACCGGAUGUGACCGCUGACCGCAUGGUCUGGUGGUGGAAAGAUUCAUCGGCUGAGGAUGGGCCCGCGGCCUAUCAGCUUGUUGGUGGGGUGAUGGCCUACCAAGGCGACGACGGGUAGCCGGCCUGAGAGGGUGACCGGCCACACUGGGACUGAGACACGGCCCAGACUCCUACGGGAGGCAGCAGUGGGGAAUAUUGCGCAAUGGGCGGAAGCCUGACGCAGCGACGCCGCGUGGGGGAUGACGGCCUUCGGGUUGUAAACCUCUUUCAGUAGGGACGAAGCCGUGAGGUGACGGUACCUACAGAAGAAGCACCGGCCAACUACGUGCCAGCAGCCGCGGUAAUACGUAGGGUGCAAGCGUUGUCCGGAAUUAUUGGGCGUAAAGAGCUCGUAGGCGGUCUGUCGCGUCGGCUGUGAAAUCCCGAGGCUCAACCUCGGGCCUGCAGUCGAUACGGGCAAACUAGAGUGUUGCAGGGGAGACUGGAAUUCCUGGUGUAGCGGUGAAAUGCGCAGAUAUCAGGAGGAACACCGGUGGCGAAGGCGGGUCUCUGGGCAACAACUGACGCUGAGGAGCGAAAGCGUGGGGAGCGAACAGGAUUAGAUACCCUGGCAGUCCACGCCGUAAACGUUGGGCGCUAGGUGUGGGGGCCAUUCCACGGUCUCCGUGCCGCAGCUAACGCAUUAAGCGCCCCGCCUGGGGAGUACGGCCGCAAGGCUAAAACUCAAAGGAAUUGACGGGGGCCCGCACAAGCGGCGGAGCAUGUUGCUUAAUUCGAUGCAACGCGAAGAACCUUACCUAGGCUUGACAUGCACGGAAAUCUGUCAGAGAUGGCAGGUCCUUUGGGGUCGUGCACAGGUGGUGCAUGGUUGUCGUCAGCUCGUGUCGUGAGAUGUUGGGUUAAGUCCCGCAACGAGCGCAACCCUCGUUCUAUGUUGCCAGCACGUGAUGGUGGGGACUCAUAGGAGACUGCCGGGGUCAACUCGGAGGAAGGUGGGGAUGACGUCAAAUCAUCAUGCCCCUUAUGUCUAGGGCUGCAAACAUGCUACAAUGGCCGGUACAAAGGGCUGCGAUACCGUGAGGUGGAGCGAAUCCCAAAAAGCCGGUCUCAGUUCGGAUUGGGGUCUGCAACUCGACCCCAUGAAGUUGGAGUCGCUAGUAAUCGCAGAUCAGCAACGCUGCGGUGAAUACGUUCCCGGGCCU
Molecule: ribosomal RNA, 1343 nt
Filed under: uncultured bacterium
Lineage: Bacteria
Description: bacterial SSU rRNA
Rfam family: Bacterial small subunit ribosomal RNA
Source: RNAcentral